GCUGCCCUCUUUCUUCGUGCCUAAUACAUGCAAGUCGAGCGAACGGACGAGAAGCUUGCUUCUCUGAUGUUAGCGGCGGACGGGUGAGUAACACGUGGAUAACCUACCUAUAAGACUGGGAUAACUUCGGGAAACCGGAGCUAAUACCGGAUGAUAUUUUGAACCGCAUGGUUCAAAAGUGAAAGACGGUCUUGCUGUCACUUAUAGAUGGAUCCGCGCUGCAUUAGCUAGUUGGUAAGGUAACGGCUUACCAAGGCAACGAUGCAUAGCCGACCUGAGAGGGUGAUCGGCCACACUGGAACUGAGACACGGUCCAGACUCCUACGGGAGGCAGCAGUAGGGAAUCUUCCGCAAUGGGCGAAAGCCUGACGGAGCAACGCCGCGUGAGUGAUGAAGGUCUUCGGAUCGUAAAACUCUGUUAUUAGGGAAGAACAUAUGUGUAAGUAACUGUGCACAUCUUGACGGUACCUAAUCAGAAAGCCACGGCUAACUACGUG
RNAcentral lists this ribosomal RNA (497 nucleotides) under uncultured bacterium. RNAcentral's name for it is "partial 16S ribosomal RNA". It matches the Rfam family "Bacterial small subunit ribosomal RNA", at positions 36 to 507 of the family's 1533-position model. The record is from RNAcentral.